Molecule: ribosomal RNA, 246 nt
Filed under: uncultured bacterium
Lineage: Bacteria
Description: partial 16S ribosomal RNA
Rfam family: Bacterial small subunit ribosomal RNA
Source: RNAcentral
GGUGCAAGCGUUGCUCGGAUUUACUGGGCGUAAAGCGUACGCAGACGGUGAGAAAGGUCGGAUGUGAAAGCCCCGGGCUCAACCCGGGAACUGCAUCCGAAACCAUCUCGCUUGAGUAUGGGAGAGGGAAGCGGAAUUCCACGUGUAGCAGUGAAAUGCGUAGAGAUGUGGAGGAACACCGAUGGCGAAGGCAGCCCCCUGGGCCGAUACUGACGCUCAGGCACGAAAGCGUGGGGAGCAAACAGG